This is a small nucleolar RNA of Lachancea thermotolerans CBS 6340, 91 nucleotides long. The record is from RefSeq and is a predicted model, not a curated record. Lineage: Eukaryota; Fungi; Ascomycota; Saccharomycetes; Saccharomycetales; Saccharomycetaceae.
UAGCCUUUAAUGAUGAUAUAAAAUACAAUUUUAGACGUUAGACUUCUGAUUCUCAAGGAAGAAAACGUAUAGAUAUCUGAUCAAUGUGCUA